This 253-nucleotide ribosomal RNA is filed under the name uncultured bacterium. RNAcentral describes it as "partial 16S ribosomal RNA". It matches the Rfam family "Bacterial small subunit ribosomal RNA", at positions 524 to 776 of the family's 1533-position model. The record is from RNAcentral.
UACGUAGGGUGCAAGCGUUGUCCGGAAUUAUUGGGCGUAAAGAGCUCGUAGGCGGUUCGUCGCGUCGGCUGUGAAAUCCCUGGGCUCAACCCAGGAACUGCGUCCGAUACUGGUUGGCUUGAAUCCGGGAGAGGGAUGUGGAAUUCCAGGUGUAGCGGUGAAAUGCGUAGAUAUCUGGAGGAACACCGGUGGCGAAGGCGACAUCCUGGACCGGUAUUGACGCUGAGGCGCGAAAGCCAGGGGAGCAAACGGG